Molecule: ribosomal RNA, 238 nt
Filed under: uncultured bacterium
Lineage: Bacteria
Description: partial 16S ribosomal RNA
Rfam family: Bacterial small subunit ribosomal RNA
Source: RNAcentral
UGGCGGGACGGGGUGGAGUAAUGUCUGGGAAACUGCCCGAUGGAGGGGGGUAACUACUGGAAACGGUAGCUAAUACCGCAUAACGUCGCAAGACCAAAGAGGGGGACCUUCGGGCCUCUUGCCAUCGGAUGUGCCCAGAUGGGAUUAGCUAGUAGGUGGGGUAACGACUCACCUAGGCGACGAUCCCUAGCUGGUCUGAGAGGAUGACCAGCCACACUGGAACUGAGACACGGUCCAG